UUGAUUUUGGUCGCCAACGAGUGGCGGACGGGUGAGUAACACGUAGGUAACCUGCCCAGAAGCGGGGGACAACAUUUGGAAACAGAUGCUAAUACCGCAUAACAACGUUGUUCGCAUGAACAACGCUUAAAAGAUGGCUUCUCGCUAUCACUUCUGGAUGGACCUGCGGUGCAUUAGCUUGUUGGUGGGGUAAUGGCCUACCAAGGCGAUGAUGCAUAGCCGAGUUGAGAGACUGAUCGGCCACAAUGGGACUGAGACACGGCCCAUACUCCUACGGGAGGCAGCAGUAGGGAAUCUUCCACAAUGGGCGCAAGCCUGAUGGAGCAACACCGCGUGAGUGAAGAAGGGUUUCGGCUCGUAAAGCUCUGUUGUUAAAGAAGAACACGUAUGAGAGUAACUGUUCAUACGUUGACGGUAUUUAACCAGAAAGUCACGGCUAACUACGUGCCAGCAGCCGCGGUAAUACGUAGGUGGCAAGCGUUAUCCGGAUUUAUUGGGCGUAAAGAGAGUGCAGGCGGUUUUCUAAGUCUGAUGUGAAAGCCUUCGGCUUAACCGGAGAAGUGCAUCGGAAACUGGAUAACUUGAGUGCAGAAGAGGGUAGUGGAACUCCAUGUGUAGCGGUGGAAUGCGUAGAUAUAUGGAAGAACACCAGUGGCGAAGGCGGCUACCUGGUCUGCAACUGACGCUGAGACUCGAAAGCAUGGGUAGCGAACAGGAUUAGAUACCCUGGUAGUCCAUGCCGUAAACGAUGAGUGCUAGGUGUUGGAGGGUUUCCGCCCUUCAGUGCCGGAGCUAACGCAUUAAGCACUCCGCCUGGGGAGUACGACCGCAAGGUUGAAACUCAAAGGAAUUGACGGGGGCCCGCACAAGCGGUGGAGCAUGUGGUUUAAUUCGAAGCUACGCGAAGAACCUUACCAGGUCUUGACAUCUUGCGCCAACCCUAGAGAUAGGGCGUUUCCUUCGGGAACGCAAUGACAGGUGGUGCAUGGUCGUCGUCAGCUCGUGUCGUGAGAUGUUGGGUUAAGUCCCGCAACGAGCGCAACCCUUGUUACUAGUUGCCAGCAUUAAGUUGGGCAC
This 1077-nucleotide ribosomal RNA is filed under the name Limosilactobacillus fermentum. RNAcentral's name for it is "bacterial SSU rRNA". It matches the Rfam family "Bacterial small subunit ribosomal RNA", at positions 74 to 1138 of the family's 1533-position model. Lineage: Bacteria; Bacillati; Bacillota; Bacilli; Lactobacillales; Lactobacillaceae. The record is from RNAcentral.